AGCUUUUUCAAACUGACACAGAGGUGAAUGGGCAAGAUUACAAUUAAUUGUGACAUUUUUCUUCGACAACACUCACAACAGCACUCUUCGCGGCUCCUGCCGGCUCUAUACUAACCCUGUUUCACACGCAAUAUUUUCCUUAUUCAGUCGUUAACACACCUUUUGUAUCCCACUACGAAGAACAUCAACAUUUCCACCAAAACCCCGAAAAAAUCAUCAUUUUAUAGACGAAACAAUAAAAUAUUUCAAACAAUUUGUUUUGCUUUUG
This is a non-coding RNA of Paramuricea clavata, 268 nucleotides long. The record is from the annotation of a GenBank genome assembly. NCBI's taxonomy places the organism in Eukaryota, Metazoa, Cnidaria, Anthozoa, Malacalcyonacea, Plexauridae.